UUAGUGGUCUUGUUGCUGCUAAGGUGCUAACUAUGAUACUUUAUCAUCUGCUUUUUUAUUUUUAUUUUUGAUAACUUUAUUUCUUUGCGUUGAAUUUACUGUUGACUGUUUGAAUUCAUAUGCAAGUCUCUAUUUUAUAGUCUGCUAACCAACAUCAAGCCAAUUCACCUGGUAGGAAAAAGGAGUUGUUUGAACAGGGACAGAGUAUAGAAAUCCUUAUAUUGCUGCCUUUGGCUGGUAUUUUCUUGUUUGUGAUGUCAUUAAGGGUUUCUCCCAAUAUCGAGUCAUGCAAGACACAAGGAUGUUGAGACUUACUAUUAGUAAUAUUUUUAAACUUGUGAACUUUUAAAUUCAUUCUAGAAAGGAAUUGCUUAGUAGAAGCUAAAAUCUUUCUGCUUGAUGUUUUCUUUGAAAAGACUUUGGUUGCUUGAUUGGUGAAUAUCAGGAGUCUUCUAUUUGUAACUAAAAGGCUGUAGAUUUGAGUUGACUCUUGAGAGUAGACACUUAAUAUAGAAUAAUAGAAAUGCUGAGUCAAAGUGUUAAGAUUUUCUCUGAAAUCUCCAUCUCACAUUGACAGGAAUGUAGCUAGUUAGUAUUGUUAAUCCUAUUACAAUAAGUAUCCUUUUGUUUCUGCAGAUAUUUUUUAAAUAUUAUAUUUUUCAUUCUUUACAUAAGGGAAUUUGGCUGUGCUACAUCUCUUGGUCAUGAUGAAGUCCUGCCAUGUUCCCCAGUCCGAUAGAUAACUGAAACCUAGAUAGAAUGAAAAUUAAUUCACACUUAAUUGGUAACUGGUGAUUGGUGCUGAUGCAGAGCUGGAUUUUUCAGUUUUAAGGUUUCCUAUUCUAAUUAGGAUUUUAUUUUAGUGUUUUCCUAUUCCAUUUUAGUUUCCUAUUCUAUUUAGAAUUUUAAUAAAUUUUCCUAUUCUAGUUAGGAUUUGUUUUCAUUAAAGAUAUUGUUAAAAUUUGCAUGCUGCAGCAUUUUUGUGACGCUCCAGCUCUGGCCCUAUUUUUAGAUAGGUCUUUUUUGUGCAAAAUAAAAUGUAGUUUAACAUGCAAAUUCAUGUGUCUUGUUAUUUUGUUUGAAGGCUUUCACUUAGGAAGCUUGAAUAUUUUCUAUAGUUGAGCUGACAAGCUUUGGUAAAUUUUAAACGUGAUGUUGCCAGAUAUAUCCAAUUGACUUGUCUGUUAA
This 1188-nucleotide unclassified non-coding RNA is filed under the name Hevea brasiliensis (rubber tree). Lineage: Eukaryota; Viridiplantae; Streptophyta; Magnoliopsida; Malpighiales; Euphorbiaceae. The record is from RNAcentral.